Molecule: ribosomal RNA, 550 nt
Filed under: uncultured bacterium
Lineage: Bacteria
Description: partial 16S ribosomal RNA
Rfam family: Bacterial small subunit ribosomal RNA
Source: RNAcentral
UGGGGAAUAUUGGACAAUGGGCGCAAGCCUGAUCCAGCAAUGCCGCGUGUGUGAAGAAGGCCUUCGGGUUGUAAAGCACUUUUAUCAGGAGCGAAACGCUGUCGGCUAAUACCCGGCGGAACUGACGGUACCUGAGGAAUAAGCACCGGCUAACUUCGUGCCAGCAGCCGCGGUAAUACGAAGGGUGCAAGCGUUAAUCGGAAUUACUGGGCGUAAAGCGUGCGUAGGCGGUUUCUUAAGUCCGCUGUGAAAUCCCCGGGCUCAACCUGGGAAUGGCAGUGGAUACUGGGAGGCUAGAGUGUGUCAGAGGGUGGUGGAAUUCCCGGUGUAGCGGUGAAAUGCGUAGAGAUCGGGAGGAACAUCAGUGGCGAAGGCGGCCACCUGGGACAACACUGACGCUGAGGCACGAAAGCGUGGGGAGCAAACAGGAUUAGAUACCCUGGUAGUCCACGCCCUAAAGCGAUGCGAACUGGAUGUUGGUCUCAACUCGGAGAUCAGUGUCGAAGCUAACGCGUUAAGUUCGCCGCCUGGGGAGUACGGUCGCAAGACU